AGCCUGCUCACUGAUAAAAUUAUUAAAUAGCCGCGGUAUCUUGACCGUGCAAAGGUAGCAUAAUCAUUAGUUUUUUAAUUGGAAACUAGCAUGAAUGGUUGGACAAAGAAAAAGCUGUCUCUUUCAUUAAAAUUGAAUUUAACUUCUAAGUGAAAAGGCUUAGAUAUCUUAGAGGGACGAUAAGACCCUAUAAAGCUUUAUAAAUUCAAAGAUUUUAAUAUUUUUUUUAAUAAUGAUAAUUUUUCAAAAAUUUAUUGGGUUGGGGCAACAGAAGUAUAAUUAUCAAUAACUGCUAUAAAGUAUUACAAUUAUUUUUGUUAUUAGAGAGUUGUUGAUCCUCGAAAGGGAUUAAAAGAUCAAGUUACUUUAGGGAUAACAGCGUAAUUUAUCUUGAGAGUUCUUAUCAAAGGAUAGUUUGCGACCUCGAUGUUGAAUUAAAAUGUCUUUAUAGUGCAGCAGCUAUACAAGAAGGUCUGUUCGACCUUUAAUUUUUU
RNAcentral lists this ribosomal RNA (494 nucleotides) under Portunus pelagicus (sand crab). RNAcentral describes it as "partial large subunit ribosomal RNA". It matches the Rfam family "Bacterial large subunit ribosomal RNA", at positions 1856 to 2597 of the family's 2925-position model. The record is from RNAcentral. Lineage: Eukaryota; Metazoa; Arthropoda; Malacostraca; Decapoda; Portunidae.